GCGCAACCCUUGUCCUUAGUUACCAGCACGUUAUGGUGGGCACUCUAAGGAGACUGCCGGUGACAACCGGAGGAAGUGGGGAUGACGUCAAGUCAUCAUGGCCCUUACGGCCUGGGCUACACACGUGCUACAAUGGUCGGUACAAAGGGUUGCCAAGCCGCGAGGUGGAGCUAAUCCCAUAAAACCGAUCGUAGUCCGGAUCGCAGUCUGCAACUCGACUGCGUGAAGUCGGAAUCGCUAGUAAUCGUGAAUCAGAAUGUCACGGUGAAUACGUUCCCGGGCCUU
Molecule: ribosomal RNA, 285 nt
Filed under: uncultured Pseudomonas sp.
Lineage: Bacteria; Pseudomonadati; Pseudomonadota; Gammaproteobacteria; Pseudomonadales; Pseudomonadaceae
Description: partial 16S ribosomal RNA
Rfam family: Bacterial small subunit ribosomal RNA
Source: RNAcentral